UCGAGGAGGAGGGUGAGCCUCUUCUCGGGACUUUCUCCCCGGCUCCGGGAAGCGCGGCCCGUUCCCUUGGCUGCGGUGGCAAGGGCAGAACGCGGGCCGCCCCCUCCUCGAGCCGCCUCAGGGCUGCAGGGUCCGGAGUGGGCCGAGCAGGGACAGGCGGACGGGCAGCGGCAGCCCGAGAGGACCGUGAGGGACAGAGAAUGGACACGUUCCUGCGUACUCAGUCCCCAGCGGGCAGGAGUGAUGUCCUCGAGCCGCCUUCCUCUGUGGCGCCGCGGUCCCAGGGAGCCUGUGUCUCCGGGAGCAGGGCCGGUCGCUCUGGCCGCCAAGGCGGACGGGGUGAGGACGUGCCCGCGGCGGGGCUCGGGGCCCGGCCCUAACCAGCGCAGUGCGACAUUACCGCAGGCAGCUGUCUGAGGAAAUCCCUCACAGAAACACCGUCAACUUUCGACUCCUGAAAUGGCUUGUGAAAGUUAAAAAUGCUCUGUAAGCUGAGUGUCUGCAAGCAAAGUACCUUCUGUCUGGUCUUCUCUGAGAAGCACAAAAGCUGAAGACAACGGAGGGAAAUUGAAGAGAGCAAGAGGCCAUGAAAAACUUGAUGUGUUCUGUUCACCCAGAAGAUUUCCUGAAGGAUGCAUAAAUCUGACAUGAGAAUACAUGAAUAACAGUUUGAUGGUACCAGAUUUUCUUUUUUGACCUCACCAAAUGUCACCUUGUAGCAAUACCAAUCAUCCUAUGUGGGCAGAGAAAAGGAAUGAUGAGAGACAAGUUGUUUCUUUCUUGUGUAUUUAGUUGGCAUUAUUAAUCCUUUGAGCAUCUAGUGAAUCUUUAGACAUACUUUGAAGAAUCUGUGGUUGCAUUUGGUUUGGUUAAUUUUGAUUCAUGGGGAGAGAUCAAAGGAUCUUGAGAACUCUGUUGUGGUUACCCAGAGCUGCACGUUUUCUUUGUGGUAAUGUGCAGUAAUAAAAUGCCUUGAGAGAUACCAUGAGAUUUGUCAAGUGGAUUACCUCAUGGUGGAUGUCUCACCUUGUAGCAGUGAAAAUGGAGUGUAGUUGUGUGGAUGUUGGGUAAGGAGGAAACCAUGGAUGAAAGACAGGAAAAAACAAAGAUGUUACAAGAAGAGCAAACAGUGACAACAACAUUUAGGGUAUUAGAACUAACAAUUGAAAGGAGACACAUUAUAUUCAGAAUUUUUUUGAUCUUCUGGAUUAUAUUCAGACUUCAAAAUUGGUAUGACAUAAUAGGUUAAAACCUCUUAAA
Molecule: non-coding RNA, 1260 nt
Organism: Cyanistes caeruleus (blue tit)
Lineage: Eukaryota; Metazoa; Chordata; Aves; Passeriformes; Paridae
Source: RefSeq, a predicted model, not a curated record